GAACGGCAGCAUGGGUGCUUGCACCUGAUGGCGAGUGGCGAACGGGUGAGUAAUGCAUCGGAACGUGCCCUGAAGUGGGGGAUAACGUAGCGAAAGUUACGCUAAUACCGCAUAUUCUGUGAGCAGGAAAGCAGGGGAUCGCAAGACCUUGCGCUUUAGGAGCGGCCGAUGUCGGAUUAGCUAGUUGGUGAGGUAAAGGCUCACCAAGGCAACGAUCCGUAGCGGGUCUGAGAGGAUGAUCCGCCACACUGGAACUGAGACACGGUCCAGACUCC
RNAcentral lists this ribosomal RNA (275 nucleotides) under uncultured bacterium. Its description in RNAcentral is "partial 16S ribosomal RNA". It matches the Rfam family "Bacterial small subunit ribosomal RNA", at positions 64 to 339 of the family's 1533-position model. The record is from RNAcentral.